Molecule: ribosomal RNA, 492 nt
Filed under: uncultured bacterium
Lineage: Bacteria
Description: partial 16S ribosomal RNA
Rfam family: Bacterial small subunit ribosomal RNA
Source: RNAcentral
AGUGAACGCUGGCGGUAGGCCUAACACAUGCAAGUCGAACGGCAGCACAGUAAGAGCUUGCUCUUACGGGUGGCGGGUGGCGGACGGGUGAGGAAUACAUCGGAAUCUACUUUUUCGUGGGGGAUAACGUAGGGAAACUUACGCUAAUACCGCAUACGACCUACGGGUGAAAGCAGGGGAUCUUCGGACCUUGCGCGAUUGAAUGAGCCGAUGUCGGAUUAGCUAGUUGGCGGGGUAAAGGCCCACCAAGGCGACGAUCCGUAGCUGGUCUGAGAGGAUGAUCAGCCACGCUGGAACUGAGACACGGUCCAGACUCCUACGGGAGGCAGCAGUGGGGAAUAUUGGACAAUGGGCGCAAGCCUGAUCCAGCCAUACCGCGUGGGUGAAGAAGGCCUUCGGGUUGUAAAGCCCUUUUGUUGGGAAAGAAAAGCAGCAGGUUAAUACCCCGCUGUUCUGACGGUACCCAAAGAAUAGGCACCGGCUAACUUCGUG